UUCUUAUUCUCAGAAUCGUUGAAGCAUUAUAAUGGCGACGAGAGAGCAAACAAGUCAGAGAGAGAGAGGUGCCGGUGAUUAUGUGAAACAGAAUCGUCGCCAACGUGAUUGCUUAAGAUCAAGGAGAUCAUCAUUCAAGGUAGAGACCAUGUACAAGUAAUUCCAUGAAUGGCACCAUGAGCCAACGUCCAAGAAGAAGAACACCUCCAAGUUUUGUUUCAAUCAUCCAUCACUUAUGUUUAAGUGCAAAUAUACUUUGUUUUAACCAUUCAUACUUUGGUUAAGGUUGGUUCUUGUCAUUGUGGGAGACACUCUGGUUCGAGAAAGACUACACAUUAUCUCCAUGAAGCUGCAGGUUGAAAGGAAAGAGCGAAGAGCAAGUCGAGGCGCUGUGAAAAGAGUUGUCUCAUCGUGCGGCUGGCUGUGCCAGGUUUGUAGUUCAUCUCUCUGCUCUGUGUUUUUGUGACCUCUAGUUUCAUGAAUUAACAU
Molecule: non-coding RNA, 489 nt
Organism: Camelina sativa (false flax)
Lineage: Eukaryota; Viridiplantae; Streptophyta; Magnoliopsida; Brassicales; Brassicaceae
Source: RefSeq, a predicted model, not a curated record